RNAcentral lists this ribosomal RNA (468 nucleotides) under uncultured bacterium. Its description in RNAcentral is "partial 16S ribosomal RNA". It matches the Rfam family "Bacterial small subunit ribosomal RNA", at positions 28 to 507 of the family's 1533-position model. The record is from RNAcentral.
GAUGAACGCUGGCGGCGUGCUUAACACAUGCAAGUCGAACGGAAAGGCCCAAGCUUGCUUGGGUACUCGAGUGGCGAACGGGUGAGUAACACGUGGGUGAUCUGCCCUGCACUUCGGGAUAAGCCUGGGAAACUGGGUCUAAUACCGGAUAGGACGAUGGUUUGGAUGCCAUUGUGGAAAGUUUUUUCGGUGUGGGAUGAGCUCGCGGCCUAUCAGCUUGUUGGUGGGGUAAUGGCCUACCAAGGCGUCGACGGGUAGCCGGCCUGAGAGGGUGUGCGGCCACAUUGGGACUGAGAUACGGCCCAGACUCCUACGGGAGGCAGCAGUGGGGAAUAUUGCACAAUGGGCGCAAGCCUGAUGCAGCGACGCCGCGUGGGGGAUGACGGCCUUCGGGUUGUAAACUCCUUUCGCUAGGGACGAAGCGUUUUUGUGACGGUACCUGGAGAAGAAGCACCGGCUAACUACGUG